RNAcentral lists this ribosomal RNA (429 nucleotides) under Bacillota bacterium. Its description in RNAcentral is "Firmicutes bacterium partial 16S ribosomal RNA". It matches the Rfam family "Bacterial small subunit ribosomal RNA", at positions 355 to 776 of the family's 1533-position model. Lineage: Bacteria; Bacillati; Bacillota. The record is from RNAcentral.
UAGGGAAUCUUCGGCAAUGGACGGAAGUCUGACCGAGCAACGCCGCGUGAGUGAAGAAGGUUUUCGGAUCGUAAAGCUCUGUUGUUAGAGAAGAACGUUGGUAGGAGUGGAAAAUCUACCAAGUGACGGUAACUAACCAGAAAGGGACGGCUAACUACGUGCCAGCAGCCGCGGUAAUACGUAGGUCCCGAGCGUUGUCCGGAUUUAUUGGGCGUAAAGCGAGCGCAGGCGGUUCUUUAAGUCUGAAGUUAAAGGCAGUGGCUUAACCAUUGUACGCUUUGGAAACUGGAGGACUUGAGUGCAGAAGGGGAGAGUGGAAUUCCAUGUGUAGCGGUGAAAUGCGUAGAUAUAUGGAGGAACACCGGUGGCGAAAGCGGCUCUCUGGUCUGAAACUGACGCUGAGGCUCGAAAGCGCGGGGAGCAAACAGG